GGAUUUUGUUCUUCAACAAGACCAGUAGAUCUAAGAACUCUGAGAUUUUUUUAAACAUAAAUUCAUUCAACAAAUAUUUAUCGAACAUGUCUUAGGUAUCAAACAUUUUCUAAAAGCUACAGACACAGAAAUGAACAGAAGAAAGAAUACUCCCUACCCUCACGGAGCUUGCCUUUUAGUGAAGGGAGUCAGGGAGAAGUGACUAAUAAACAGACAUGGAGUCUCUGGUUAUACUUCUUUUGUAUAAGUGCUCAGUUCCCGGCUAGUUAACUUGCUGGCGGACAUGUGGCUGGUGGAAAGGACUUCUUGGAGACACGCGAGCUGGAUAAUUCUUUGUUUAGGUGGCCUGUCUUCUGCAAGGUUGAUUUGGAUGCUAGUCUCCUUGAUGAAAGGCAACCAUAAUACUUAGGAGCAACAAAA
Molecule: long non-coding RNA, 420 nt
Organism: Lontra canadensis (Northern American river otter)
Lineage: Eukaryota; Metazoa; Chordata; Mammalia; Carnivora; Mustelidae
Exons: 4
Source: RefSeq, a predicted model, not a curated record